UACGAAGGGUGCAAGCGUUACUCGGAAUUACUGGGCGUAAAGCGUGCGUAGGUGGUUUGUUAAGUCUGAUGUGAAAGCCCUGGGCUCAACCUGGGAACGGCAUUGGAAACUGGCUUACUAGAGUGCGGUAGAGGGGUGUGGAAUUCCCGGUGUAGCAGUGAAAUGCGUAGAUAUCGGGAGGAACAUCUGUGGCGAAGGCGACACCCUGGACCAGCACUGACACUGGGGCACGAAAGCGUGGGGAGCAAACAGG
Molecule: ribosomal RNA, 253 nt
Filed under: uncultured bacterium
Lineage: Bacteria
Description: partial 16S ribosomal RNA
Rfam family: Bacterial small subunit ribosomal RNA
Source: RNAcentral